CCCGCCCGCCGGACGCCGGGACC
Molecule: microRNA, 23 nt
Filed under: Human alphaherpesvirus 1 (Herpes simplex virus type 1)
Lineage: Duplodnaviria; Heunggongvirae; Peploviricota; Herviviricetes; Herpesvirales; Orthoherpesviridae
Description: hsv1-miR-H18
Gene: hsv1-miR-H18
Source: miRBase by way of RNAcentral